Molecule: long non-coding RNA, 1440 nt
Organism: Penaeus monodon (black tiger shrimp)
Lineage: Eukaryota; Metazoa; Arthropoda; Malacostraca; Decapoda; Penaeidae
Exons: 3
Source: RefSeq, a predicted model, not a curated record
CUGGGCUUCACCUGUGAGUCAUCGCGAGAAAAUCCGAGGAAGAAAAUAGUGAAACAUUUAAAGGAACAAUUUGGUGUGACGUGAUCAUAGGUAAUAGUGGUUGAUCGGUAUUUCUUAUGCUGCGCCUUAUUGCAGUGGGGGCAGAAUUCAGUUAACACUCUUGGUCAAAAUUGUAUAGAUGGCGACCCGGGGCCUCGUCACUCCGUCCCAGAUCCAACAGAUCCCUAAACAAGAUUCCAAGUGACAGAAACAACAGCAGAGAGUGGUGGAAGCAGGACUGUUACGAUCUCUGAGACGGCGGGACAUCUUUGCUCUCUGUGAUGUUGUAGGCGAACAUUAACGUCUUCAGUGCGUGCGAUUUAUGAUUUAUGAAGCUUAUAAAAUGACUGGCGUUAGGAGUAUCACAGAAAAUAUUGCAUCACAAAUUUAAUUUCUCGUCUCAUAAAUCUAGCUGACUUAAAAUCCCUUAAAUCCAGUCUCGUUUAAAUCAAAUUUUAAAAGAGAGGAACUAACGAAUGAAUUAUCGAUCUGAUUACUUGCAAUCUAGCUUAAACGGUCACAGUAACACCACUCUAUCUGAAAACACUUGCCUUAGAAUACUAAGUGUGAAAAAUAAAUUCAUUUUCCUCAGCGAAUAUCUUUCAACUGACCUUACCCGCCACCAAGCAUUAUUCAAGAGAGAGAAAAACAAGAGGGCCGCCAAAUUAGUAAGUCUGUUUUUCUCUAAUUACCAAAUGCUGUAGGUACUUCUAAUUUACAUAUGAAAAAAUGGCCUUGACUAAAGGUACCUAAAAUGACCAUAUUUCUGAUGCAGGUUACAUUUUUUUUUUUUUUUUUUUUAAUCAAUUAUAGGUUACAAGAACAUUCCUUCCAGUGUACAGCAUGAAACCCUGAAAUUCGCCCUGAUACUGACAAAAAUCAUAUCCAUAUAUUCAAGCGUCAAGUAGGCUGUAUCUAAGGCACCUAAUCGGAGACAGUGGAGAGGCAUCAUAACCCCACCUUCAACAACAAAGGAUGAAACACUGAUAACACGGAUAUCAAAGGUUCAUUUUGAAGAGACUUUGUAGAACGAUACCGAUAUGAUCUUCUGAAGACCGUCAGUCAUAUAUCUAGGUUAGAUUGUGUUUGGGACUAAAGCAACAAGCAACUACGACAUUGGAAAUGAAGUAACGGCAUGAAGAACAUGACUUCUUACAUUUUCCUGUUUUUCUCUUUGUUGCUUCUUUUAUAACCUUUUUGACAAGAAUCCUCUAUAGUAACAUCUUUGUAUAUGACAACUUCCCCCAAACGUAAUAAACCCAUAUAUCGACGUGUCUUUGCCUACAGUGAAGACGAAGAUGAACAUCCUACCACGACGAGGGAACAGGGUGACGUGCCAUGUCUGCAAUGCUGCCAGAUGACCAUGAUUCAUUCCUUAAUUAGAAUAAAUUGAUAAUGCAA